AUCUAGCUGACGAGUCGGAAAUAAAAUGAAAUGCGUGUCAAACUGGAU
This 48-nucleotide non-coding RNA is filed under the name Schistosoma curassoni. Lineage: Eukaryota; Metazoa; Platyhelminthes; Trematoda; Strigeidida; Schistosomatidae. The record is from RNAcentral.